Molecule: ribosomal RNA, 305 nt
Filed under: uncultured bacterium
Lineage: Bacteria
Description: bacterial SSU rRNA
Rfam family: Bacterial small subunit ribosomal RNA
Source: RNAcentral
CCUACGGGGCGCAGCAGUGGGGGAUAUUGCACAAUGGGGGAAACCCUGAUGCAGCGAUGCCGCGUGAAUGAAGACGGCCUUCGGGUUGUAAAGUUCUGUCGCAGGGGACGAAAAUGACGGUACCCUGCAAGAAAGCUCCGGCUAACUACGUGCCAGCAGCCGCGGUAAUACGUAGGGAGCAAGCGUUGUCCGGAUUUACUGGGUGUAAAGGGAGCGUAGACGGCAAUGCAAGCCAGAUGUGAAAGCCAGGGGCUCAACCCCGGGACUGCAUUUGGAACUGUGUAGCUGGAGUGUCGGAGAGGCAG